This is a long non-coding RNA of Gossypium arboreum, 950 nucleotides long. RefSeq lists it as uncharacterized. The record is from RefSeq and is a predicted model, not a curated record. NCBI's taxonomy places the organism in Eukaryota, Viridiplantae, Streptophyta, Magnoliopsida, Malvales, Malvaceae. The transcript is spliced from 2 exons.
GAGAAGAAUGAUCUUGCUGAAAAGCUGAGGACUGCAGAAGCUGAGAAGAAAAACUUGGCCGAAAAAUCGAGAAGAUUGACUUCACAGAAUGAAGCUAAAGAAGCAGCACGAUGGUCACUUUUAGAUGAAGUCCAUAGGUUGAGACAGGAGAAACAAAAGGAAGAAGAAAUUGAAUACUACAAGACACAUAAUUAUGCGAUGAAACAGCGGUUGGAUAUAUCAAUGGGGAAGAUCCAAUCCCUUGAGAAUUCACUGCAUGAAGGCAGGCAAAAAAUUACCAGCCUCAUGGGAUUUGUCCAGGAAAAUCUGCCAAUGGAGCAACUGCAAGCACUGCUAAACAUUCAUGAAAAUUGCCUGCAAAUAUUCGAAGCUAUCCAACAACUUAGGAGAAACUUUCUGUGCUGAAACCGCAAUGAGAUUACUCAGUCAUGUACACCUGUCUUCCUAAUGUAAAGCUGUAACUGAAACAAUCACUUCUAAGAAAAUUAUACAUAAUCAACCAUCACAAUAAGGGAAAAACAAUAUGGACCAAUAAAUAAAACAACCAACGCAAUGAGUUGGCAGCUGCAAUUUACAAACCAAUGUAUCAAAUAUUAUGUACAAAUUUUAUCAAUAACAGGAUUAAAGUUGACCGCUUUUACUUUAUUAAAACACAAUUAUGUGAUGGUCUGAUUCCCACAAGUACAGAAGUUCAACAGGUGGAAAAGGGUUUGUGAAACUUUACAGUGAAUCAGAAAUUCAUUUCCCUCUUACCACGUCGACGAAAUCAUCAUCAGUGAGCCAGUCAUUUGACUCCUCACCUUCAGAAUCUUUAUCUCGACAACUUGUUUGGCCUGCUUUCUGCAAAGCACCACGAGUUUCUGGUCUCUUGUCCAGCUGAACCCAGUCAUUGGAUCCACUGGAUGAAAGAGCUUUGUUAUGCUGUGUUGACUUACGCACUGAUGCUCUAU